UCAAACCCCCCUCCGGUGUUGUUUUGCAGACACCCGUCCAGCAGCUACACCGCAAGACACCGGUACACGGCGGAGGAAGCACCAGAACGGGAUUUGGCGUUAUCAUUUGGCGCUAGAAGGAGGGGGAGGUUGUAUUCUCCGUCCUGUGGUCACGGUGCCACUGGACUCAUCUUCAUCAGCAAACUCCCGAAAAGGGAGUCCCGAUUCAACCCUGUAAGCUUCAAAAUGCACUCAAAUCUCUCAAAACCCUCUCAGCCAUGAUUCUCUUUGUUGUGUGCAUGUUAGCAAACCCUGUCUAGAAGCACCC
Molecule: long non-coding RNA, 307 nt
Filed under: Daucus carota (carrot)
Lineage: Eukaryota; Viridiplantae; Streptophyta; Magnoliopsida; Apiales; Apiaceae
Description: long non-coding RNA (DCAR_LNC001154)
Source: RNAcentral